GAUGAACGCUGGCGGCGUGCCUAAUACAUGCAAGUCGAGCGAACAGACGAGGAGCUUGCUCCUCUGACGUUAGCGGCGGACGGGUGAGUAACACGUGGAUAACCUACCUAUAAGACUGGGAUAACUUCGGGAAACCGGAGCUAAUACCGGAUAAUAUAUUGAACCGCAUGGUUCAAUAGUGAAAGACGGUUUUGCUGUCACUUAUAGAUGGAUCCGCGCCGCAUUAGCUAGUUGGUAAGGUAACGGCUUACCAAGGCAACGAUGCGUAGCCGACCUGAGAGGGUGAUCGGCCACACUGGAACUGAGACACGGUCCAGACUCCUACGGGAGGCAGCAGUAGGAAAUCUUCCGCAAUGGGCGAAAGCCUGACGGAGCAACGCCGCGUGAGUGAUGAAGUUCUUCGGAUCGUAAAACUCUGUUAUUAGGGAAGAACAAAUGUGUAAGUAACUAUGCACGUCUUGACGGUACCUAAUCAGAAAGCCACGGCUAACUACGUG
This 497-nucleotide ribosomal RNA is filed under the name uncultured bacterium. Its description in RNAcentral is "partial 16S ribosomal RNA". It matches the Rfam family "Bacterial small subunit ribosomal RNA", at positions 28 to 507 of the family's 1533-position model. The record is from RNAcentral.